AGGCUUAACACAUGCAAGUCGAGGGGCAGCAUGGUCUUAUCUUGCUAAGGCCGAUGGCGACCGGCGCACGGGUGAGUAACACGUAUCCAACCUGCCGUCUACUCUUGGACAGCCUUCUGAAAGGAAGAUUAAUACAAGAUGGCAUCAUGAGUCCGCAUGUUCACAUGAUUAAAGGUAUUCCGGUAGACGAUGGGGAUGCGUUCCAUUAGAUAGUAGGCGGGGUAACGGCCCACCUAGUCUUCGAUGGAUAGGGGUUCUGAGAGGAAGGUCCCCCACAUUGGAACUGAGACACGGUCCAAACUCCUACGGGAGGCAGCAGUGAGGAAUAUUGGUCAAUGGGCGAGAGCCUGAACCAGCCAAGUAGCGUGAAGGAUGACUGCCCUAUGGGUUGUAAACUUCUUUUAUAAAGGAAUAAAGUCGGGUAUGGAUACCCGUUUGCAUGUACUUUAUGAAUAAGGAUCGGCUAACUCCGUGCCAGCAGCCGCGGUAAUACGGAGGAUCCGAGCGUUAUCCGGAUUUAUUGGGUUUAAAGGGAGCGUAGAUGGAUGUUUAAGUCAGUUGUGAAAGUUUGCGGCUCAACCGUAAAAUUGCAGUUGAUACUGGAUAUCUUGAGUGCAGUUGAGGCAGGCGGAAUUCGUGGUGUAGCGGCGAAAUGCUUAGAUAUCACGAAGAACUCCGAUUGCGAAGGCAGCCUGCUAAGCUGCAACUGACAUUGAGGCUCGAAAGUGUGGGUAUCAAACAGGAUUAGAUACCCUGGUAGUCCACACGGUAAACGAUGAAUACUCGCUGUUUGCGAUAUACAGCAAGCGGCCAAGCGAAAGCGUUAAGUAUUCCACCUGGGGAGUACGCCGGCAACGGUGAAACUCAAAGGAAUUGACGGGGGCCCGCACAAGCGGAGGAACAUGUGGUUUAAUUCGAUGAUACGCGAGGAACCUUACCCGGGCUUAAAUUGCAGAUGAAUUACGGUGAAAGCCGUAAGCCGCAAGGCAUCUGUGAAGGUGCUGCAUGGUUGUCGUCAGCUCGUGCCGUGAGGUGUCGGCUUAAGUGCCAUAACGAGCGCAACCCUUGUUGUCAGUUACUAACAGGUUCCGCUGAGGACUCUGACAAGACUGCCAUCGUAAGAUGUGAGGAAGGUGGGGAUGACGUCAAAUCAGCACGGCCCUUACGUCCGGGGCUACACACGUGUUACAAUGGGGGGUACAGAGGGCCGCUACCACGCGAGUGGAUGCCAAUCCCAAAAACCUCUCUCAGUUCGGACUGGAGUCUGCAACCCGACUCCACGAAGCUGGAUUCGCUAGUAAUCGCGCAUCAGCCACGGCGCGGUGAAUACGUUCCCGGGCCUUGUACACACCGCCCGUCAAGCCAUGGGAGCCGGGGGUACCUGAAGUGCGUAACCGCGAGGAGCGCCCUAGGGUAAAACUGGUGACUGG
RNAcentral lists this ribosomal RNA (1430 nucleotides) under uncultured bacterium. RNAcentral describes it as "bacterial SSU rRNA". It matches the Rfam family "Bacterial small subunit ribosomal RNA". The record is from RNAcentral.